CCCCUCACCGUGGCCUUGGCCGUGAGCACCAACGCCUCCUGGUUGAUGCUGGACACCUCGGGGGAGCUCUUCAUGAUGACCCGGAUGCGGGAUAGAGGCAGCGAGAUGAGCCGCUGCUCCCCGCCCUUGUCUUUACCCACGACCACGUCCGCCAUCUUCCCGCCCGUCGCGCGGGUGCCCGCAGCCGGCGGGCCCGACCGCGAAGUGGCUGCCCUGCCCGGCCAGCUGGUGGGUACGGGGAGCCGCGCCCGCUGCCCCGUGGGAGUUGUAGUGUGGGGAGGCGAGGCCGCGAGGCCGGGAGCGGCCCGUCCGGGAAACUACGAGCUCCGUGAGGCCUCGCGCCCCCGAUCUGCGCAUGCGCCGACGCUCGGACACCGCCCCCGAGUGCGAGGCCCGGCGCGGAACCGGCAGCCGAGAGCCUGGCGGGGGCGGGGCGCACCGCGCCGCUCCCGGGAGUCUCCGGGCUGCGGUCGCGGAAUACGACUUUGAUCCGCGGGUGAGGGCUCUGUGAAUGGGCAAGCAAAGCCCUCUGACUCCGGGCCUCGUGGCUGGGUGCUGUGUGUUAAGCGCCUGCGCUGUACUAGGACCGGGCGUGCCGCCGUCGGCAAAAAGUGACGCUUUCUUGAAGCACAAAGUCCAGGGGGGACGACCAAGCGGACAGCGGAUGCGUCCUGCGCCGGUAGCCAGGCGACCGGUGGAAGAGCAGAGUCCAGCGCGGGCGAUGCGGCGGGGCCAGGCUUGCUGCGCCGCGGGGUGAUUGGGAGAAGAGCCUUCCUGCGGGGUGGAGGACGAAGAGCUGCCCUGAGGAGGUCCCGGAGUCUGGUGGGAACGGCCUCUUCGGGACUGCUCCGAGAGACGGUGUGCAGAGCCUGGCGUGCUCGCCGAGGUCUGACAGGCAGCCCGGGGCUAGGUCCUGUUGGAUUUUUUUUUCUAAGGAAAAUGGGAAGUGGUGGUAGGGUUUGAGCAGUGGAGUCCCGGGCAGUUUUAAAAGGAUCCCUGCAGCUGCCGGCUGGGAGGGCGUGGGUGCGCGUAAGGCCGGAAUCACAGAGACCAGGUAGAAGAUGAUUACGAGAACCCAGGAACGUGGCCCUCAGGAGGCCGGCAGUACCAAGGGGACAGCAGCUGGGAGGAGAGAGGCAGGAGAUGGUCAGGGGCCAGACCAGGGAAGGCCGCGGAGACCGCAGAAUUCGCUCUGAAUGAGUGGGGAGGCCCUUGGAAGAGUAAGGGGUCCAACUUAACUUUUUUUUUUUUUUUUUUUUUUGACACAGAGUCUCGCUCUGUCGCCAGGCUGGAGUGCAGUGCGAUCUCGGCUCACUGCAACCUCCAACACCCCGAUUCAAGCAAUUCUCCUGCCUCAGCCUCCUGAGUAGCUGGGAUUAUAGGCACGCGCCACCCAGCUAAUUUUUUGUAUUUUUAGUAGAGACGGGUUUUCACCAUGUUGGCCAGGAUGGUCUCGAUCUCCUGACCUCGUGAUCCGCCCGCCUCGGCCUACCAGAGUGCUGCGAUUACAGGCGUAAGCCACCGCGCCUGGCCACCAACUUAACUUCUGCCAGGAUCAUGGGAAGUGGUAGGGUUUGGGGUCUGAUUUCAAGAGGGAGCUGCUGUGGAGUAUCAGCACAGCUUACUGAGAUAUCAGAAAGGCCUUGGUAAAGAGCCCUUUACUGAGACAGGGAGCACAUUUUGGCAGAGGUUUGAAUUGGAGCGUGUUAAGUGUAGUGUCUUCUUCACCACUGUGACGUGAGGUCCUGGCGCAAAUAAUUGAGCACAGAAAUACAUGUCAGGCAUUGCUAGGCACAAGGGUACAGCCAGUGAGCAGGGCUGCCAUGGUCCCUGCCCUCUUAGAGCUGACCUUCAGGUCUGAGGGAGACUGAAAAAUAAGUAAGAAUACCUCCAGCCGGGCGCUUUGGCUCACGCCUGUAAUCCCAGCACUUUGGGAGGCCAAGGUGGGUGGAUCACCUGAGGUCAAGAGUUCGAGACCAGCCCAACCAAUAUAGUCAAACCCCAUCUCUACUGAAAUUAUUAAAAUUAGCUGGGCGUGGUGGUGGGCACCUGUAAUGCCAGCUACUCGGGAGGCUGAGGCAGGAGAAUCGCUGGAACCCAGGAGGCAGAGGUUACAGUGAUCCGGGAUCGCGCCACUGCACUCCAGCAGCCUGGGCGACAGAGGGAGACUCCAUCUCAAAAAAAAAAAAAAAAAAAAAAUACACCUCCAAUGCUGAAAGCUACGAAGGAAACAAAACCAUGUGCGAGUGAUAGGGCAGCCCCUCUGGGAAGUGACAUUUGUGCCCAGAUCUGAAGAAAGAAAAGGAGCCACUCAUACAGAAAGACUGAGACAAGAUGAGCUUUCGGGACAAGUCAGGCUCUAGGGAGAACACCUGACGAGGAAAAUGCCUGGGCAGUUUGAGGAACUGAAAAGCCAGUGUGUCUGGAGCUUAGUGAGGGAGGCAGAGAGCACGGGAGGUGUGGUUACCAAGGUAGGUGGGACCGGCUCUGGCCCUGGGUAAAAAGUUUGACUUUCAUUCCAAGAGUAAUGGAAAAUAAUGAAGAAUUUUGAACUCGAGGUGGUGCAUGCCUGUAAUCCCAGCACUUUGGGAGGCCGAGGGGGGGCAGAUCUCCUGAGGUCAGGAGUUCGAGACCAGCCUGACCAACAUGGCGAAACCCCGUCUCUACUAAAAAUACAAAAAAUUAGCCGGGCAUGGUGGCACGCGCCUGUAAUCCCAGCUACUUAGGAGGCUGAGGCAGGAGAAUCGCUUGAACCCGGGAGGCGGAGGUUGCAGUGAGCCAAGAUCACGCCACUUGCACUCCAGCCUGGGCAACAAGAGAGAAACUCCAUCUCAAAAACAAACAAAUCCAGACCAGCCUGGCUAACAUGGCAAAACCCCCUCUCUACUAAAAAUAGAAAAAUUGGCUGGGCAUGGUGGUAAGCACCUGUAAUCUCAGCUGCAUUGGCGGCUGAGGCAGGAGAAUCACUUGAACUCAGAAGGUGGAGGUUGCAGUGAGCACAGAUCACACCACUGCACUCCAGCCUGGGCAACAGAGCAAGACUCUCAAAAAAAAAAAGUUUUGAAGGGAGCAGAUCCACUUUAAAAGCUCACACUGGUUCUUGAGUGAUGACCAAAUGGCACUGUGCCUUAUGCAGAGCCGACUCCUGGCAGUUUGCACAGGCUGGAGGUGGAGCUGCAGACUCCCUCUCCCUCUCGGCCUUGCCUCUGUAAAUGGGAAAGCCGUUGACAUUCACAAAAGAGGGGCAGGGAACUGCUACACAAGAGCAGCUACACAAGAGGGUCCUUUGGUCCACACAGGAAACAAGCCAUAGUGAUGACAUAUUUUGAAGCUGUUAGAUGUUUUGUUUCCCUAGCUGGCUAUUAUUUUUGUAUGGCUUGUCUUUCUCUUUUGAGUAUGUGUGAGAACAGGAUGGGGAUGAGAAGCUCAGCUUGUAGAAUUGGCAGGUGAUGUUUGCAGUCAUUAAUCAUUUGAGAAGUAGAGAGAGAAGCCAAGCAGGAAAUCUUCAUACUGGAAAAGAAGUGCUCACCAUUAAAAAAAAAAAAAAAAAAAAUCCAGUGUGGUUCACAGCUGUAAUCCCAUCACUUGGAGGCUGAGGCAGGAGAAAUACGUGAAGCCAGGAGUUUGAGACCAGCCUGGGCAAUAUAACAAGACCCACAUCUCUACAAAGAGAAAAAAAAUGUAAAAAAAAGAAGCUUUAAACCUAAGACGGCAGAAUUCAAGACUGUUGUCCUUGAGAACUUCCUGGCUCUGGAAAAAGCUCAGUGAGUUAGUCUCAUCCUGUCGUUAGCUCUGUUUUUUAGGGGCUCACUUUGUCUUCACGACAGUACCUUGCACCAUUCUCAUGGGUAUCCCAGGGUGGUGCAAGGCAGUUUUCUGCACUUCCCAGAAUGCCCUGUCAGCUGGCUUCUGGGUAGGUUCUGCAAAUUGGAGGCCCCUGUGAAAGAUCGCUGUGGGGUGGGAGGAAGAAGCUUUAUCUGCCUGCUGGCUGCAGGGUAGAGGACUGCAGUGGGGUUAUAGGGAUCACCACCUGCACAUGUGGAGCUUUGAGCGGCUUCACUCUAAGUUUCUGCUCAACAGUGGCAGCCCUGGAGUCCUUCGGGGGCGAGUGUGGGCUCCUGGGCUCCAGGCCAGGGGCAGUCCCAGCUUCCUGAUCUCGAGGUAGCGUCUCCUCCCUUUUGCUCCAUAGCACCUCGCCCUUCUCAGUGACGUGCCUCCUUCUCAGUCAUGCGCCUCCAGCUCUAACAAUGUCCUUGAAAACAAUUCUUGACCAUGCGCCGUGGCUCACGCCUGUAAUCCCAACACUUUGGGAGUCUGAGGCAGGCGGAUCACUUGAGGUCAGGAGUUUGAGACCAGCCUGGCCAACAUGUAAUCCCAGCUACUCCCUCCACUUGAUUUGUGUUCCUUGAAGAAAUUUGCAUAAUCCCUGUAUCUGGUUGGCAGAUAGCAGAGAUGUAGCCUCAGUCUUUCCUUUAAAAAUUUUGCUUUAGGCAGGGCGCGGUGGCUCACACCUAUAAUCCCAGCACGUUGGGAGGCCAAGGUGGGCAGAUCAUGAGAGCAGGAAUUUGAGAUCGGCCUAGCCAAUAUGGUGAAACCCCGUCUCUACUAAAAAUAUAAAAAUUAGCUGGGCGUGGUGGCACAAGCCUGUAAUCCCAGCUAUUUGGGAGGCUGAGGCAGGAGAAUCGCUUGAAUCCAGGAGGCAGAGGUUGAGAUGAGCCGAGAUCACGCUAUUGCACUCCAGCCUGGGCAACAGAGGGAUACUCCAUCUCAAAAAAAAUUUUUUGCUUUAGGGCCAAUCGUGGUGACACACGCUUGUAAUUCUGGCACUUUGAGAGGCCGAGGCAGGUGGAUAAUUUGAGGUCAGGGGUUCGAGAGCAGACUGGCCAUGAUGGUGAAAUCCCAUCUCUACUAAAAAUACAAAAAAAGCCAGGUAUGGUGGCAUACGCCUGUAAUCCCAGCUACUCGGGAGGCUGAAGCAGGAGAAUCACUUGAACCCGGGAGGUUUAGGUGGCAUUGAGCCGAGAUUGCACCACUGCACUCCAGCCUGGGUGACAGAGCGAGACUCCAUCUCAAAAAAAAAAAAAAGGGCCGGACGCGGUGGCUCACGCCUUUAAUCCCAGCACUUUGGAAGGCCGAGGCGGGUGGAUCACCUGAGGUCAGGAGUUCAAGACCAGCCUGGUCAACAUGGUGAAACCCCGUCUCUACUAAAAACAUUAAAAAAUUAGCCGGGCAUGGUAGUGGGCGCCUGUAAUACCAGCUACUGAGGAGGCUGAGGCAGGAGAAUUGCUUGAACCCAGGAGACAGAGGUUGCAGUGACCUGAGAUUGUGCCACUACACUCCAGCCUGGGCAACAAAGCAAGACUCUGUCUUAAACAAACAAAAAGCCCAGUGUGGUGGUGUAUAUUUGUGGUCCUAGCUACUUUGAAGGCUGAGGUGGGAGGAUUGCUUGAGUACAACAUGUAGAGGCUGCAGUGAGCUGUGAUUGUGCCACUGCACCCCAGUGUGGGUGACAGAGCAAGACCCUGUCUCAAAAUAAUAAAAUUAACAUUCAUUAACAAUAAUGUUAAUAUAUAUGUUAAUGUAUAUGUUAAUCGUAAUGUUUAUAUUUUACCAUGAUAAAAACAUUUUAAAAUCAUAUAUCAACUCUUGCCGUUCUCCUGUUGAAAACUCUCCAAUGACUUCCCACUCCAUCAUCCUGUGGGAUGGGUCCACCAUGCUGGACCACAAGGCUCUGCACAAUGCGGCUCCCACCAGCCUCUCCCCUUGGCCCAGAUUGCUUCCUCCUACCCCUUUCUCUAGCUGCCAGGCCCCCCAACCCCCGCAUGGAGCCCUUCAGCAGCUCUGUGAGCUCCCUGCCUGUUGGCAGCCAUCACAGCAACGGGCUCUGGUGUGCCCCUUGUUAUCCCUGUAUUCAGGCCAUUAUCUGUAAUGACAGCCUGGCAUAAUUUUAUUUUCACAAUUUGUAUAAUUAUAUUCUAUUGAGCUAAAUGAUCAUUAUAAUCAUUAUUAAAUAUUUAUUAAGCACUUCUAGCUGUGCAAACAUAAUAAGAUGUGGCCUCAGCUCUUAAAAUCUUUCUUCCUAAUUCCAACCCAAAUUCAUUUCAACUUAACCAAUCUUCCUUCUUGGAGAAGGAGGGAACUUCGGCGUUUUGUCUGGGUUUCCAUGCCCGAGCUUAUAGGAGCUUCUUAGCAAUGCUGUGGAGCAGAUGCUAUUGACUUCAGUUUACAGAUAAGGAAACAAUCAGACUGAGGAAGCUAGUAUUAAUAAGUAGCAGAGAUUAAGAUUUGCCUGUGGUUCUUUUUUACACAAAGCCUCUCCCACUCCUUUCAUGCACUGUUAGCCAAGUUUACUAGAAUAGGCAACUUCCUUUUUAAAAAAUCCUGUUUACAUUUUAGGUGCCAAACACUGUGCUAAUCCAGUGGGGGAAACAUAUGCUCAAAAAGAUCACUCUGAGACCAGGCAUGGUGGCUCAUGCCUGUAAUCCCAAGCCUUUGGGAGGAUGAGGUCUGAGGACUGCUUGAGGCCAGGAGUUUGAGAUGAGCCUGGGCAACAUAGUAAGGCCCCUUCUGUACAAAAAAUUUAAAAACUAGCCAGGCCUGGUGGCAUGUGACUACAGGCUGCAGUAAGCUAUGAUCGUGCCACUGCACUCCAGCCUGGGUGACAGAAUGAGACCCUGUCUCUAAAAACAAAACAAAACUCAAGCAGUAUCCUAAGUCAGGGUCCAAGCAGUAAUGGAAAUGGGUGAAGCUGACAGGCGAGUGAUAGAGAAUGGAGGGGUCUGUAGCAAACGUGACGACUCUGGCUUACCUAAGAGGGCAGCCAAUUUUGCCAUGAGGCAAUGUGGGAUCAGUGAGUGCUGUUCCAGUCUUCAAUUUCGAUUUAUAAGUAAAAUCUCCAAUAUUUUAUAUGUUGGCAACUUUGGCAUUCCUUUCCUUAAACCUCACUGCCACCCCGCACCCCAAUUCAUUUCAGUAGGGAUCAGAUAGCCAACAUCCUUAUAAAAUCAAAAGUAUACAGGCCGGGUGCAGUGGCUCACACCUAUAAUCCCAGCACUUUGGGAGGCCGAGGCAGGCGGAUCACGAGGUCAGGAGAUCGAGACCAUCCUGGCUAACAUGGUGAAACCCCGUCUCUACUAAAAAUACAAAAAAAAAAUUAGCCGGGCGUGGUGGCAGGCGCCUGUAGUCUUAGCUACUUGGGAGGCUGAGGCAGGAGAAUGUUGUGAACCCGGGAGGCGGAGCUUGCAGUGAGCUGAGAUCACGCCACUGCACUCCAGCCUGGGUGACAGAGCGAGACUCCAUAUCCCAAAAGAAAAAAAAAAAAAAGAUACAAAUCUUAAUUGGCAUAAACCAGUCCUAGUAAUAUCAUGCCCUUUGGCCAGUCGUUGGUCACAGGGUGAGCUAAUGACCCAACUCUGACAAAUUACAUGUAAGAGGAAUACUGCUAAAAAGAUAUUUUCGGCCAGGCGUGGGGGCUCACACCUGUAAUCCCAGUACUUUGGGAGGCCGAGGCGGGCAGAUCACUUGAGGUCAGGAGUUUGAGACCAGCCUUGGCAACAUGGUGAAACCCCAUUUCUACUAAAAAUACAAAAAUUAGCCGGGCAUGCUGGUGGGUACCUGUAAUCUCAGCUACUCGGGAGGCUGAGGCACAAGAGUCACUUGAACCCAAGAGGCACAGGUUGCAGUGAACCAAGAUCAUGCCACGGCACUCCAGCCUGGGCGAUACAGUGAGACUCAGUCUCAAAAAAAAAAAAAAAAAAAAGAGUAUCUUUUCUUCAGUAAAAAGACAAAGCUGUUUGGGUGCAGUGGCUCACACCUGUAAGGAGAAUUGCUUGAACCCAGGAGGUAGAGGUUGUAGUGAGCUGAAAUCAUACCACUGCACUCCAGCCUGGGCGACAGAGCAAGACACUGUCUCAAAAAAAAAAAAAAAAAAAAAAGACAAAGCCUUGAGGGCUGAGGAAGAAAUGUGGAAACUGCCCUUUCCCUUUGUUCUUGUCUAAUGCAGUCACAAAGUCUGGAGCAGUAGCAGCCAUUUUUCAACCAUGAGGCAGUAAGCAUGAAGCCUAAAACCAGCAUGCCAAGAAGGACAAAGCAGAAAGACUGAAAUCUCUAAGGCCCUUGCAGACACCCUUACUGCAUCAGUUCCAGACUUGGCUCCCAUAGCUCCAGAUGUGGCCAUGGCCACUGUAUAUGUAAGCUUGAUGGAAUAAGCACUAAUGCGGCACCUUAGAGCUGCUGGAAAAGAGACCAAUGGACAUGUACGAAUGGGGGAUCCUGCCAUUUGCCGAGUAAAGGCCUCCUGUGUAGAAGGUGUCCUUUGAUAAGCAUUCACAUGGAAUACAAAUCUCCACUCAUCUCUCCCCAAUCCAAAAGGUUCAUCCACACCCCCUCUCCAGACCUUCUUGUCUUUCUGUCUCCAAACAUGUUCUUUCCAAGUUUCUGAACCUUCAAAGUGUUAGUGACUGUCCGUGAACUGGAGUAGACCCAACCCUUCUGGCUUUCUUGCUUGCUUUUUUUUUUUUUUUUUUUUUGAGAUGGAGUUUUGUUCUUGUUGCUCAGGCUGGAGUGCAAUGGCGCGAUCUCGGCUCACCACAACCUCCGCCUCCCGAGUUCAAGCAAUUCUCCUGCCUCAGCCUCCUGAAUAGCUGGGAUCACAGGCGUGCGCCACCACGCCCGGCUAAUUUUGUAUUUUUAGUAGAGACGGGGUUUCUCCAUGUUGGUCAGGCUGGUCUCAAACUCCUGACCUCAGGUGAUCCACCUGCCUCGGCCUCCCAAAGUGCUGGGAUUACAGGUGUGAGCCACCGCACCCAGCCCACUUCCCUGUUGAUUCUGUCUCUCUGGAAGAACCCUCACUAAUAAACUUUACUUGACCUUCAAAAUAAUAAUGCUCAAAAGACACCCUCAUUUGGGGUGCCAGAGUCUGGCAUUUGUUCUCUACCAGUGCCUGGUAGCAAAUCUGAAGCUGUGUAAUGCUUAAAUGGAGAAUAGUCAUUUUCAGAGGAGGGUAUAUCUUUGCUCUAAACCCCUUGGAGUCUGUGCUGUGACUUUUAUUUUUUAUUUUUUUUUUUGAGACAGAGUCUUGCUCUUGUUGCCCAGGCUGGAGUGCAAUGGCGUGAUCUCGGCUCACUGCAACCUCCGCCUCUUGGGUUCAAGUGGUUCUCCUGCCCCAGCCUCCUGAGUAGCUGGGAUUAUAGGCACCCACCACCACACGCAGCUAAUUUUUUGUAUUUUUUAGUAAAGACUUUAAAGACAUUUCAAUUUCACCAUGCUGGCCAGGCUGGUCUUCAACUCCUGACCUUAGGUGAUCCACCGCACCUUGGCCUCCCAAAGUGCUGGGAUUACAGGAGUGAGCCACUGCACCCAGCCUGUGCUGUGACUCUUAUACUGGUCCCUGCCAGAACUUACAGGAGCAUGACCUGUCACGGACAACCUGAGCACCACUGGAUCUGCAGGGUUAUCUGUCAAAUGGGUCGGAGCAGCAUACUCAAAUGUGGUCGCUAUUAUCUCUAAAAGUCAAGGAAAGCCAGCAGUGCAGGACACUCAAAUCCAGACGUCAUUCCACUAGCUAAGCUAAGCAAACAGUUGGAGCUAUCCCAGCUGUCGAAGCUAACACGCUGCAUUUAGACUCUCUUGCAAGUCAGCUGUGUUGGUAACUAGAGGCUCUGGAUUGACACAUUAGAAUCCACUCCCAUACAUUCCCCAGGUUUUGGCUGGUAAAAAUUGAUUGAUAUCCCAUAAUUCCUUCAGCAUGUGAACUUCUCCCAAAUCAGGUGUUUUGUUUUGUUUUGUUUUGUUUUGUUUUGUUUUGUUUUGUUUUGUUUUGUUUGGAGACAGAGUCUCACUCAGUAGCCCAGGCUGGAAUCGCACCAUUGCACUUCAGCCUGGGUGACAAGAGCAAAACUCCAUCUCAAAAACAAAAAAAGAAUGACGCCUUAGUUUGGGGUUAGAGCAAAUGGUGCUGCCUAUUUCUGGGAUGGGGAAGACAAGAAGGAAUAGAGUUGGGGACAGAGGUAUCAAGAGUUAUUUGAGGGCACAGAAGUCCAAGAUGGCUAUAAGACAGUCAGGUGGGAAGGUCAGUGGAGGCUCAGGGGGGACAUGCAGGCUGGGAUAGAAAUGUGAGCAUCCCCAGAUAGGUGGCCUGUAGGGCCAUGAGCCUGGUAGGGUGACUGAGCGAGGAGAAUAGCCGGAGAAGGGGAGGUCCAAGGACCCAGACCCACCUGGUUAUUUCACAUUUGGGGCCAGACUGGCUUUGUUUACCAUUGAUCUGAGCAUGAAAAUCAAGUGAAAAUCAAAAGGAAGCCAGGAGCCACGCCUCCUCCGUGACUGCGGAUCCUGGGCCAAUGUUUCGCUGCUGCAGUGAGACCCCUGACUUUGUGUGGGCAGUGGGACCAACUGGGCAUGUGCAGUGAUCAGUUGCUAAAUAUUGGCACUCUCAUUAGCCUUGGGAUCUGGAAACCUCCAUCCACCAGACACAGCCCAUUUCCAGCUCACCCGCUCUCCACACUAGGACUCUGAACACCCUUUCUUCAUGCCUCUUCUCCUUCCUAACUGCCUGCCUGCUCCAGCAGGCCUCAGGCCACUUCUUUUUUGUGUGCCACCACACCCAGUGGUGUAUUUAAAAUAACAAAAGCUGGAGGAACAUGGUGGCACCUACCUAUAAUCCCAACACUUUGGGAGUCUGAGGCAGGAGGAUCACUUAAGCCCAGAAGUUCAAGACCAGCCUGGGAAACAUGUUGAGACCUCAACUCUAAAAAGUUUUUAAAAUUAGCCAGAUGUGGCCAGCAUCAUCCUGAUACCAAAGCCGGGCAGAGACACAACCAAACAAGAGAACUUUAGACCAAUAUCCUUGAUGAACAUUGAUGCAAAAAUCCUCAAUAAAAUACUGGCAAACAGAAUCCAGCAGCACAUCAAAAGCUUAUCCACUAUGAUCAAGUGGGCUUCAUCCCUGGGAUGCAAGGCUGGUUCAAUAUAUGCAAAUCAAUAAAUGUAAUCCAGAAUAUAAACAGAACCAAAGACAAAAACCACAUGAUUAUCUCAAUAGAUGCAGAAAAGGCCUUUGACAAAAUUCAACAACCCUUCAUGCUAAAAACUCUCAAUAAAUUAGGUAUUGAUGGGACGUAUCUCAAAAUAAUAAG
RNAcentral lists this long non-coding RNA (11132 nucleotides) under Homo sapiens (human). RNAcentral's name for it is "non-protein coding lnc-AGO2-2:2". Lineage: Eukaryota; Metazoa; Chordata; Mammalia; Primates; Hominidae. The record is from RNAcentral.